UGUAGUAGCACAGGGAGGUGAAGCAGGUUUCUACGGGAAUAUACUACUGCUUUUGGACAUGUACGGACAACUGUGCAUUUUCCCUGAAAUUUCCCAGCAAAACUAAUACGUCAUGUCCUCUUCAUUAUUAUUUUCAUUAUUUUGUUCCUCAAAAACAAAGGAUUAUGUCAUGGGAGGUAGUUUGAACUCUGAGUUGAUGAGCGGAAACAGGAAAUGCAUGAAGUGUUUACCACGGCCUGACACACCGUCACAUAUCUCCUUCUCUGAUGCCAACAUCAGCCGGAGAUUCCUUCACUACGACCAUCACUUAUUCAAUGGAGUAGGUGGAGGAGAGGAAUCUGACGGCACAGAGGGAUUCCUGAGAUGUAAACACACACAAAAAAAGGGCUGUGAUCAACAAGUGUGGUCCGGCUGCCAGAACACGACUGCAGUGUGUUAAAAACUCUUCUGGAAAAACCUGCAGAUUUAAAGGAGAGCGGAGAAGAAAAGGGAGGUGUCACGCAAUGAGGGAUGUGUUUAUGGGUUUUGGGACUGUAUGUAUGCUUUAGUGAUUAUUGCAAUGCAAGACUUGUGUCAAGGAACGUAAUCAAAGCAGCCGACAGCCAGAGGAGUCGUUUCUGAGGACUGAGGGGCGGCUCCGCUCCUCCGCUCCAAAUCGAGGAUCAUAACCUCACCGCUCUCCUCCAUGAAGGCCCCUGUGUGGUUUCCGUCCUUUUGUCCUAAUCCAAGCCAGAGAUGUGAUUCAUGAAAAGCCCGAGUGUUUCAUUUCAAAGGAGCUACGUAAUAAAAAUGGUAACCUCC
Molecule: long non-coding RNA, 801 nt
Organism: Limanda limanda (common dab)
Lineage: Eukaryota; Metazoa; Chordata; Actinopteri; Pleuronectiformes; Pleuronectidae
Exons: 3
Source: RefSeq, a predicted model, not a curated record